GGAGCCAUGGCUCAGGGGUAGAGAAUCUGCUUGGCAUACAGAAGGUCCCAGGUUCAAUCCCUGACACCUUCA
RNAcentral lists this transfer RNA (72 nucleotides) under Sphaerodactylus townsendi. RNAcentral's name for it is "tRNA-Ala". It matches the Rfam family "tRNA". Rfam says of the family: Transfer RNA (tRNA) molecules are approximately 80 nucleotides in length. Their secondary structure includes four short double-helical elements and three loops (D, anti-codon, and T loops). Further hydrogen bonds mediate the characteristic L-shaped molecular structure. tRNAs have two regions of fundamental functional importance: the anti-codon, which is responsible for specific mRNA codon recognition, and the 3' end, to which the tRNAs corresponding amino acid is attached (by aminoacyl-tRNA synthetases). tRNAs cope with the degeneracy of the genetic code in two manners: having more than one tRNA (with a specific anti-codon) for a particular amino acid; and 'wobble' base-pairing, i.e. permitting non-standard base-pairing at the 3rd anti-codon position. Lineage: Eukaryota; Metazoa; Chordata; Lepidosauria; Squamata; Sphaerodactylidae. The record is from RNAcentral.